GGGAUUGUGCCAGCCGCCGCGGUAAUUCCAGCUCCAAUAGCGUAUAUUAAAGUUGCUGCAGUUAAAACGUUCGUAGUUGAUAUUCGGCUUCGUCUUCUCAUCACCCGCAUUGGGAAUGAGGAGUAAGAGCCUAAGGAACUUUCGGAUUCCAUAUUACCUUGAAGAAAUCAGAGCGUUCAAAGCUGGCAUUCGCCUGAAUAUUACAGCACGGAAUGAUUGUAGAACCCUGUGUUCUACUUGAUGGUUCAAGAGCACUGGGUAUGGUUAAUAGAAGCAACUUCGGGGGCAUAUGUAUUCAACUGUCAGAGGUGAAAUUCUUGGAUUGGUUGAAGACAAACAACUGCGAAAGCAUUUGCCAAGGAUGUUUUCAUUAAUCAAGAACGAAAGUCAGGGGAUCGAAGACGAUCAGGCACCGUCGUAGUCUUGACCACAAACGAUGCCGACUAGAGAUGGGGAAAUAAAUUAUAGACAUUAGUCUUAUUAAUUUUUCUCUGCAUCUAAUGGGAAACCAUUAAGUUUUUGGGCUCUGGGGAGAGUACGUGCUCAAGCAUGAAAUUUAAAGGAAUUGACGGAAGGGCACCACCAGGAGUGGAGCCUGCGGCUUAAUUUGACUCAACACGGGGAAACUCACCAGGUUCGGACAUAGGAAUGAUUGACAGAUUGAUAGCUCUUUCUUGAUUCUAUGAGUGGUGGUGCAUGGCCGUCCUUAGUUGGUGGAUUGAUUUGUCUGGUUAAUUCCGAUAACGAACGAGACGUCAGCCUGCUAAAUAAACGUGAAAUGGAACUUCCUUUUCAUUUGUUUUCUUAGAGGGACUACGGGUUCUACAAGCCCGGGGAAGCUUGACGCAAUGACAGGUCUGUGAUGCUCUUAGAUAUCCUGGGCUGCACGUGCGCUACAAUGACAUAGACAGCGAGUCUAUCCGAAUGCGAAAGCAUAAGGAAAUCUCUGAAUCUGUGUCGUAAUGGGGAUUGAGCAUUGUAAUUGUUGCUCAUGAACGAGGAAUUCCUAGUAAGUAUAAGUCAUCAGCUUGUGCUGAUUGCGUCCCUGCCCUUUGUACACACCGCCCGUC
This 1070-nucleotide ribosomal RNA is filed under the name uncultured organism. Its description in RNAcentral is "SSU rRNA". It matches the Rfam family "Eukaryotic small subunit ribosomal RNA", at positions 558 to 1677 of the family's 1831-position model. The record is from RNAcentral.